GUGAAUCAUCGAAUCUUUGAACGCAAAUUGCACUCUCCUCGGAGAGUAUGCCUGUUUGAGGGCCAGCCUAUAAAAAUCGAUAUCGCUGUUGUUUCGCGGUGGCGUUUGUUGGACAUUGGGUCAUCUUAAAUCCUUUUAUUUUAAGCGACUUAAUCUUUUCUCUUGGUUCCAUGAACGUUUCUAAGACCUAUUUCUUUACACGUCUAAGGUAU
This 212-nucleotide unclassified non-coding RNA is filed under the name Glomus sp. RNAcentral describes it as "partial contains 5.8S ribosomal RNA and internal transcribed spacer 2". The stretch from base 1 to 65 matches the Rfam family "5.8S ribosomal RNA", at positions 84 to 154 of the family's 154-position model. The record is from RNAcentral. Lineage: Eukaryota; Fungi; Glomeromycota; Glomeromycetes; Glomerales; Glomeraceae.